RNAcentral lists this ribosomal RNA (450 nucleotides) under uncultured bacterium. RNAcentral's name for it is "partial 16S ribosomal RNA". It matches the Rfam family "Bacterial small subunit ribosomal RNA", at positions 354 to 796 of the family's 1533-position model. The record is from RNAcentral.
GUCGAGGAUCAUUCGCAAUGGGCGAAAGCCUGACGAUGCGACGCUGCGUGGAGGAUGAAGGCCCUCGGGUCGUAAACUCCUGUCAUGGGGGGCGAGGCGGAGGCGGUUAACGGCCGCCCGAGUUGACGGUACCCCAAGAGGAAGCCACGGCUAACUCUGUGCCAGCAGCCGCGGUAAUACAGAGGUGGCGAGCGUUGUUCGGAUUUACUGGGCGUAAAGGGCGCGUAGGCGGCCGCGUGUGUGGGGUGUGAAAUCUCCGGGCUCAACCCGGAAAGUGCGCUCCAAACUGCGCGGCUCGAGUGCGGGAGGGGAGAUCGGAAUGCAGGGUGUAGCGGUGAAAUGCGUUGAUAUCCUGCAGAACACCGGUGGCGAAGGCGGAUCUCUGGAACGCAACUGACGCUGAGGCGCGAAAGCAGGGGGAGCAAACAGGAUUAGAUACCCUGGUAGUCC